This 72-nucleotide transfer RNA is filed under the name Chryseobacterium arthrosphaerae. Its description in RNAcentral is "tRNA-OTHER". It matches the Rfam family "tRNA". Rfam says of the family: Transfer RNA (tRNA) molecules are approximately 80 nucleotides in length. Lineage: Bacteria; Pseudomonadati; Bacteroidota; Flavobacteriia; Flavobacteriales; Weeksellaceae. The record is from RNAcentral.
GAGAUCAUAGUUUAACGGAAAAACAUUUCCUUACCCGGAAGCGAUGCGGGUUCGAAUCCCGCUUAUCUCCCA